RNAcentral lists this ribosomal RNA (468 nucleotides) under uncultured bacterium. RNAcentral describes it as "partial 16S ribosomal RNA". It matches the Rfam family "Bacterial small subunit ribosomal RNA", at positions 28 to 507 of the family's 1533-position model. The record is from RNAcentral.
GACGAACGCUGGCGGCGUGCUUAACACAUGCAAGUCGAACGGAAAGGCCCUGCUUUUGUGGGGUGCUCGAGUGGCGAACGGGUGAGUAACACGUGAGUAACCUGCCCUUGACUUUGGGAUAACUUCAGGAAACUGGGGCUAAUACCGGAUAGGAGCUCCUGCUGCAUGGUGGGGGUUGGAAAGUUUCGGCGGUUGGGGAUGGACUCGCGGCUUAUCAGCUUGUUGGUGGGGUAGUGGCUUACCAAGGCUUUGACGGGUAGCCGGCCUGAGAGGGUGACCGGCCACAUUGGGACUGAGAUACGGCCCAGACUACUACGGGAGGCAGCAGUGGGGAAUAUUGCACAAUGGGCGGAAGACUGAUGCAGCAACGCCGCGUGCGGGAUGACGGCCUUCGGGUUGUAAACCGCUUUCGCCUGUGACGAAGCGUGAGUGACGGUAAUGGGUAAAGAAGCACCGGCUAGCUACGUG